AUUGAACGCUGGCGGCAGGCCUAACACAUGCAAGUCGAGCGGAUGAAGGGAGCUUGCUCCUGGAUUCAGCGGCGGACGGGUGAGUAAUGCCUAGGAAUCUGCCUGGUAGUGGGGGAUAACGUCCGGAAACGGGCGCUAAUACCGCAUACGUCCUGAGGGAGAAAGUGGGGGAUCUUCGGACCUCACGCUAUCAGAUGAGCCUAGGUCGGAUUAGCUAGUUGGUGGGGUAAAGGCCUACCAAGGCGACGAUCCGUAACUGGUCUGAGAGGAUGAUCAGUCACACUGGAACGGAGACACGGUCCAGACUCCUACGGGAGGCAGCAGUGGGGAAUAUUAGACAAUGGGCGAAAGCCUGAUCCAGCCAUGCCGCGUGUGUGAAGAAGGUCUUCGGAUUGUAAAGCACUUUAAGUUGGGAGGAAGGGCAGUAAGUUAAUACCUUGCUGUUUUGACGUUACCAACAGAAUAAGCACCGGCUAACUUCGUG
This 484-nucleotide ribosomal RNA is filed under the name uncultured bacterium. RNAcentral's name for it is "partial 16S ribosomal RNA". It matches the Rfam family "Bacterial small subunit ribosomal RNA", at positions 30 to 507 of the family's 1533-position model. The record is from RNAcentral.